UUGAUAUCGCCCAGGCCUACGUCCAACAGCACAACCCAGUCAGUGCGAUGCAUGCAUACAAGGGCUGCAUUUAAGAUGGAGAUGGCAACCUUCACACUAGCAGUAAUGAUGAAGAUGGCUGUGGCACCGACCAUGCAGCCAGCAGUUAUGUUAAAAGGCGUAGAGGAAUAGAUGGACUAGUAUGGAGACUAAAAUGUAAGUGGCACACAGAAUGUGAGAUUAAGAGAUUAGGAUGAUGGGAACUGAUAACUGAUACAAGCUGCUUAAUUGUUUGAUUAUGACAUUUUGGACAUCAUUUAUCACAAAUAAUCUCACAAAAUAGUUUGUUCAAAUGCUUGUCAAAUCACUGUUUCUGUUUUUUUUAUGUUUUUAGUGCAGAAAAGGCCCCAGUUCAAGAGAUACUGAUGUAACUGUCAAGCAAAAUAAUCACAAAACAGCAGUGCAGAUUUAACAUAAACCGGUCUGCUGUCUGGGAGGGAGCCUUGUGGGGCUUCCGAAGGGUCUCCUGUGAUCCCAAUUUGAUGAUGUGUGUCAAGUUCUCAGAUGACAUGGGGAAAAAUGAGGAAGGGGUUGGUUUAGGAGGACCAAGGAGGGAAUUCUUGAGGCUGCUGAUGGAGACCAUUUCCAGGUCAACUAUGUUUGAGGGAAAUGAACACAGCAGGAACUUAGCUCUUGACAGUACUGGUAAUGACUAUGACUUGGCUCUUGACAGUACUGGUAAUGACUAUGACUUCCUUUUAUUGGUAUAUUUACAUGCUUUUUAGAUAUUGAUCUGAUUAACACUUUAUUUAUAAUAACAAAUGCAUGAUAUUUAUGUUGUUUUUAUUACAUUACUUUUAAUUCCAUUUUAUUUUAGCUCUAAGGGAGGACUGGUACUACACUGCUGGCAGAGACAUUGCUGUAAGCUUGGUACAUGAUGGUCCACCACCAAACCUCCUCUCACCAACAUUAUUUACUCUUCUGGUUGAUGCUUCACCAGACCCAGUUAUAGAAGACAUAGUUGACACAGAACUCUUGGAAAAAUUCAGAAAGCGAUGUGGAAAACCCUGCGCUGCUAUGAACUGCAGACUAGAUCAUUAACACACAGUCGAAUGUGUGCCCUGAUUGCCAUGCAUUUGCAUGUGUGAUUGCCUGUCCCUUCACUCCCAGUACUUCAUUUACGUUGCAAUACAUCAAGGGGGACUCUUGACCGGCACUCGACGCGCGGUGGCGCAUUGCAAGGUGCUAAAAUGUCAGAUUUAGAAUUACACAGUGGCGCCUUCAAAGGCGCCAUUUGGUCAGGUAUUGAAUUACACAGCGGCUUUUUGGAGUACCCCGUUUUCCUUUGUGCCAGCCCCGUGACUGAAAAUAAUAAUAAAAAAGCAUAAUCUAAUAAUAAAACAGUCUGUCACCAUGGAACCCCAGUCAAAUGUGAUUUCAGUGACUUUUGCCAAUCACUCCCGAGUGCUUCUCCAGACAUAGCAAAGGGGAUUAUUUUCAAAAUAUAGCGGGGAUCAAAAGAGAAAGGCGUGGCCAGCCACUGCGGUACAUCAGCACACCUUAGAGAAUCUUCACUUGGUGGUUUGGAGAGAUGGUGAGGUACUCUGGCAGUACAGUGGCUGACAUGGUGGCUGUAGACCCAAGAAAUGUCUCCGAACACCUGGAGGAAGAGACAAUGGAGAGUAAUGGAGGCACACCAGAAAGUACAGAGUCAGAUACUGCAGAAGAAAGUGAGGAAGAGAGUACUGAAAGCGAAGAGGACAGUUCGGAGAAUGAAGAUGUGCAGAAUCCAUCUUACAUGUCCAAAAAUGGCUAAAUUUGCUGGAGCGCAACUCCAUGCACUUCUGCAGGCAGGAUGCCUGCAAAAUUUAUAAUGAAGAGAAAUCUGGGACCAACACGACUGUGCAUGGCUGGGGCUGAAGACAUCGUGUCUACCUUCAAUGUAGUUUUCCCUACAACAAAUAAAACUAUUAUAAUAAAAAUGACAAAUUUGGAAGGGAGUAAGAAAUUCGGGACUGAUUGGAGAGAUACAAACGAAAUUGAAUUAGAUGCAUUUUUUGGGCUACUCUUCCCUUCUGGAGUGUAUAAGUCGAAAGGGGAAGCAGCUGCCAGCCUGUGGGACACUGAAAAUGGGCGACCAAUUUUCAGAGCCACCAUGUCCCUGCUUUAUUAUAUCUGUCCUGCGGUUGGACAACAAGGCGACACGGGCCGAAAGAGAAGAUUCUGAUAAGCUGGCAGCAAUCAGAGACAUCUGGGACCUGUGGGCGGACAGGCUGCCAGCUCUCUACAGCCCAGGAGAGAAUGUUACAGUGGAUGAAAGGCUGAUUCGGUUCAGGGGUACAGUCGCUGUAGUUUCCGGCAGUAUUUGCCGAAUAAGCCGAGGAAAUACAGCAUCAAGCUGUGGGUGACCGCCGAUGCAUCGUCCAACUACGCCUGGAAGGUGCAGGUCUACACCGGCAAGCCCACCGAGAGAGCCGAGGUUCAGCAAGCCACCCGAGUCGUACUAGAGAUGACAGAAGGUUUGCAUGGUCACUGUGUCACUGUAGACAAUUUCUUCACCUCCUACGAUCUGGGAUAGCACUUGCUAAAAAAAAAAAAAAUUAACCAUGCUGGGCACGAUUAGGAAAAAUAAGCCAGAGCUGCCCUCUGUAAUUCUGGACUGUAAAUCAAGGCAAGUUCAUUCAUCGAAAUUUGUAUUCACUGACACAACCACAGUCGUGUCUUACAUGGCCAAAAAAAAUAAAAAUGUCAUCCUCCUGAGCACCUCCCACAGAAGUGCCCGGGUGAGUGACCAAAGUGACAAAAAACCAGACAUAAUAUUACAUUAUAAUAAAUCGAAGGCAGGGGUGGCCAACUACAGCUGCAAGCGAAAAACUCCUCGCUGGCCCCUGGCUAUCUUUUAUGACAUGCUGGACUUAUCGGCGUACAACAUCUUUGUUCUGUGGAGGGAGUUAAAUCCCUCCUGGGGGAAACCCCCAGAAACUGGCGGAGGUACUUUUUAGAGGAGCUGAGGCCUGCAAUGGAGCAGAAGCCACGGAUUUCCCAGCUCCCCAUCUCUGCAGCACUGACAAGGAGUGAGAGAGCAAUUGCCCCCUCCGCUCCAUCUCCAGAGGCCAGCACAAGCACACAGACCAAAAAAGCGGAGACUGUGCAAAAUUUGCAAAAGUAGCAAAGAUCGCAAAGCCACACUAACAUGCUUCAAUUGCGGGAAUAACGUUUGUAAAGAGCAUCAUGUUGUGUUCUGUUUGACAUGCAAACCCUGAAUAUUUGACGUGUGUUUCUUUGAAAAAUUGUAUGUCGUUUAGGUGGUGAGCGCAUUUAGAAUGCGAUGUUUUCCGGUUUUUAUUUUUUGAUUUAUUUAUAAUUGUUAUAAAUAAAUAUUGUUAUAAUUGUUCCUUCAAAUUGUUCUGGUUGUUAAAUGUUUCUUUGUGUAGUAUAUUUCAAUAUAUUUAAUUGCCUUCAGUUCUAUUUGUUCACUGUUUUCUGUUAUAUGUAAAUAAAUGUUAAUUUCCUGUU
Non-coding RNA from Paramormyrops kingsleyae, 3495 nucleotides. NCBI's taxonomy places the organism in Eukaryota, Metazoa, Chordata, Actinopteri, Osteoglossiformes, Mormyridae. The record is from RefSeq and is a predicted model, not a curated record.